Molecule: non-coding RNA, 2554 nt
Organism: Podarcis lilfordi (Lilford's wall lizard)
Lineage: Eukaryota; Metazoa; Chordata; Lepidosauria; Squamata; Lacertidae
Source: the annotation of a GenBank genome assembly
AGCAACACCUGACUUGACCAACGCUUGACUCGGUGAUCAAUAGGUGAGUAGGAGGACCUCCUAGCUAUUAAUGGGUCUAUCAGAUGCAGGGAGAAGUGUUCUUAGAAGUUCAAAACCCUGGAGAUGCUGUGGAUUUUUCAGUGGCUAAAGGAAGUCCUUCUUCACAUGGUGCAUAGUUAAACUAUGGAAUUAGAUAUUAUUUUUUAUUAUUAUUAGGGACGCGGGUGGCGCUGUGGGUUAAACCACAGAGCCUAGGACUUGCCGCUCAGAAGGUCGGCGUUUCGAAUCCACGCAAUGGGGUGAGCUCCCGUUGCUCGGUCCCUGCUCCAGCCAACCUAGCAGUUCGAAAGCACAUCAAAGUGCAAGUAGAUAAAUAGGUACUGCUCCGGCGGGAAGGUAAACAGCGCUUCCGUGCGCUGCUCUGGUUCGCCAGAAGCGGCUUAGUCAUGCUGGCCACAUGACCUGGAAGCUGUACACUGGCUCCCUCGGCCAAUAAAGCGAGAUGAGCGCUGCAACCCCAGAGUCGGUCAAGACUGGACCUAACGGUCAAGGGUCCCUUUACCUUUACCUUAUUAUUAUUAUUGUUAUUUAUAUACCGCCUUUCAUCCGAAGAUCUCACAACAUAAAAAUACAGGAUAAAAGCACAAGAAGUUGUGGUGGUCACCAACUUGGAUGACUUUAAAAGGGGAUUAGAUAAACUCAUGGAGGAAAAGGCUAUCAGUGCCUACUAGCCACAAUUCUGCCUCUCUUUGAGGCAGUAUACUUCUGAAUAUCACUUGCUGCAAAUCACAGGUGGGGAGAGCACUCUUGUACUCAACAUUUGACUGCAAGCCUCCCAUGGGCAUCAGGAUGGCCACUAUGUGAAUAGUAGAACUUUUCUUAUGUUCAAAUCAGUGAGUGAGUGAGGGUUUAACUCCAUGCCCUGCCUGUGGUCUUCCUGCUUGAAUUUGAUUGGCCACCAUGAGAACAGGAUGCUGGACCAGAUGGGUCCUUGGCCUGAUCCAGCAGGUCUCCACUGCAUGCGGUGCAUUUGUUCCAUCAUGGAACACUUUUUCUAGCAGCCCAGGUAGCUGUAGCUGAUCAGACCAUUGGUCCAUCUUGACUACUAGCAGCGGCAUUCCAAGGUGUCAGGCAAAGGUUUAUCCCAAGUUUCCACAAACCGGUGGGCUACCGAUGUUUUGAACUACAAGACCCACCAUUCCUGAUCAUUGGCCAGGCUGACUAAUGGGAUUGAUGGGAGCUGUAGUCCAAACUAUUCCCCAAGCUGGGGGAAAGACUGGUCUCUCCUUUCAACUGGAGACUUCAAACGUAAAACCUUCUGCUUGCAAAGCAUGUGAGGUCCUGCCAACAGAUAGUCCUUCUCAAGGGACAUAGAGCUAUUCAGUGCUUUGAUCAGAUUAUAUAUUUGCAUAGACAUAAGUCAUACCUCGAGUUGCGUUUGCUUCACAUUGUAUUUUUUCAGGUUAAGAACGCGGCAAACCCAGAAGUGUUUGCUUCCGAGUUUGCCACAUUGCGCAUGCGCAGGAGCAAUCUGUGUGCUUCGUGCAUGCGCAGGAGCGCUCUAUCACGUCACACACACAGAGAGAGAAGCAGUGCUCCACUUACGGACUUUUCAGGGUGCGAACGGCACCCCGGAAUGGAUUGCAUCUAUAAGUAGAGGUACCACUGUAUAUGGAGGAACCUUUGUGUAAUUUAUUUGAAUUUUUAGGAUAUGCACAUCAUAGAAUUGUAGAGUUGGAAGGUACACCAAGGGUCAUCUUGUCCAAUCUCCUCCAAUGCAGGAAUAAAAACAUAGAAACAUCAGAACAUAGGAAGCUGGAAAUACAAGAUGCUUCCUUCCAUGGUAUCAGACAAUUGGACAAUAUAGCUCAGUAUUGCCUACACUGAUUGGCAGUAACUCUCUGGGGUUUUGUGCAAGCAUCUCUCACUGUUCUACCAGGAGAUGCCAGAGAUUGAAAUGGGGACCUUUGGCAUGUCAAGCAGAUGCACUGAGCUACAGCUCAGGUCCUGAUAUUUAGGUUGGUGGUGGCAGAGAAUACCUAUAAAUGUUUGUGUUGUUUGUAGGAAAUCCCAUAGCAUAACAUAAAUCUGAAUUCCUCACAGACCUUUUUCCUCCAGUCAUUCCUGGAAUUCAGUUCCCAUCAGCCCAAGUGACCCCGGCAAAUGGUCAGGGAGCAUGUUUAAUCAUAACCCAGCAUCUUCUGGAGGGCCGCCAAAUCCCUUUGACUUCAAAGGUUCUGCUGUCUUUGAGCCCCCAAAUGACGUCAAUCUCUAUCUCUUUCUCUCUUCCCCAAGGGUUAUCCAAUCCACAGAAAAGAUGAGCCAACAACAACAAAGAGGAAGCUGCUGCUGUUGUGGUGGUAGAGGCUGUGGGUGCUGCGGUGGCAGCCGCAGUGGCGGGGGAUGUUGUGGUGGCAGCCGCAGUGUGGUUUCCUCUCAGCAGAGUCAGAGCAGCGGUGGAUGUUGUGGUGGCAGUAGCGGUGGCAGCAGAGGUGGUGGAUGCUGUGGCGGUAGCAGCGGCGGCGGAUGUUGUGGUGGCAGCAGCAGCGGCGGA